GACGAACGCUGGCGGCGUGCUUAACACAUGCAAGUCGAACGGAAAGGCCCUGCUUUUGUGGGGUGCUCGAGUGGCGAACGGGUGAGUAACACGUGAGUAACCUGCCCUUGACUUUGGGAUAACUUCAGGAAACUGGGGCUAAUACCGGAUAGGAGCUCCUGCUGCAUGGUGGGGGUUGGAAAGUUUCGGCGGUUGGGGAUGGACUCGCGGCUUAUCAGCUUGUUGGUGGGGUAGUGGCUUACCAAGGCUUUGACGGGUAGCCGGCCUGAGAGGGUGACCGGCCACAUUGCGCCUGAGAUACGGCCCAGACUCCUACGGGAGGCAGCAGUGGGGAAUAUUGCACAAUGGGCGGAAGCCUGAUGCAGCAACGCCGCGUGCGGGAUGACGGCCUUCGGGUUGUAAACCGCUUUCGCAUGUGACGAAGCGUGAGUGACGGUAAUGGGUAAAGAAGCACCGGCUAACUACGUG
This 468-nucleotide ribosomal RNA is filed under the name uncultured bacterium. RNAcentral describes it as "partial 16S ribosomal RNA". It matches the Rfam family "Bacterial small subunit ribosomal RNA", at positions 28 to 507 of the family's 1533-position model. The record is from RNAcentral.